UGCGAAGUGAAGCGGGAAAAGCUCAAAUUUAAAAUCUGGCGGUCCCUGUGGCCGUCCGAGUUGUAAUUUAGAGAAGUGUUAUCCGUGCUGGACCGUGUACAAGUCUCCUGGAAUGGAGCGUCAUGAGGGUGAGAAUCCCGUCUUUGACACGGACUGCCAGUGCAUUGUGAUGCGCUCUCAAAGAGUCGAGUUGUUUGGGAAUGCAGCUCAAAAUGGGUGGUAAAUUCCAUCUAAAGCUAAAUAUUGAGGAGAGACCGAUAGCGAACAAGUACCGUGAGGGAAAGAUGAAAAGAACUUUGGAAAGAGAGUUAAACAGUACGUGAAAUUGCUGAAAGGGAAACGCUUGAAGUCAGUCGCGCCGUUCAGGACUCAGCCUUGCUUUGCUUGGUGUACUUCCUGUUUGGUGGGUCAGCAUCAAUUUUGGUCGGUGGAUAAAGGCUUAGAGAAUGUGGCAUCCUCGGGUGUUUUAUAGCUCUGGGUCGCAUCCAUCGGCUGGGAUUGAGGAACUCAGCACCCGCAAGGCCGGGGACUUGUCCCACGUACGUGCUUAGGAUGCUGGCAUAAUGGCUUUAAUCGACCCGUCUUGAAACACGGACCAAGGAGUCUAACAUGCCUGCGAGUGUUUGGGUGGAAAACUCGAGCGCGUAAUGAAAGUGAAAGUUGAGAUCCCUGUCGUGGGGAGCAUCGACGCCCGGAGCAGACCUUUUGUGACGCAUCCGCGGUAGAGCAUGUAUGUUGGGACCCGAAAGAUGGUGAACUAUGCCUGAAUAGGGUGAAGCCAGAGGAAACUCUGGUGGAGGCUCGUAGCGAUUCUGACGUGCAAAUCGAUCGUCGAAUUUGGGUAUAGGGGC
Molecule: ribosomal RNA, 851 nt
Filed under: Mycena citrinomarginata
Lineage: Eukaryota; Fungi; Basidiomycota; Agaricomycetes; Agaricales; Mycenaceae
Description: LSU rRNA
Rfam family: Eukaryotic large subunit ribosomal RNA
Source: RNAcentral